Molecule: microRNA precursor, 95 nt
Organism: Dipodomys ordii (Ord's kangaroo rat)
Lineage: Eukaryota; Metazoa; Chordata; Mammalia; Rodentia; Heteromyidae
Gene: Mir322
Product: microRNA 322
Source: Ensembl
UCGUUAACUCAGAGGGAAUGCAGCAGCAAUUCAUGUUUUGGAGUACCUUGAAACGGUUCAAAACGUGAAGCGCUGCUAUAUUCCUUCGUGAGGAA